This 165-nucleotide ribosomal RNA is filed under the name uncultured bacterium. RNAcentral describes it as "partial 16S ribosomal RNA". It matches the Rfam family "Bacterial small subunit ribosomal RNA", at positions 355 to 512 of the family's 1533-position model. The record is from RNAcentral.
UAGGGAAUCUUCCACAAUGGACGAAAGUCUGAUGGAGCAACGCCGCGUGAGUGAAGAAGGGUUUCGGCUCGUAAAGCUCUGUUGGUAGUGAAGAAAGAUAGAGGUAGUAACUGGCCUUUAUUUGACGGUAAUUACUUAGAAAGUCACGGCUAACUACGUGCCAAU